Oncorhynchus gorbuscha (pink salmon) is the source of this 1504-nucleotide long non-coding RNA. RefSeq lists it as uncharacterized. Lineage: Eukaryota; Metazoa; Chordata; Actinopteri; Salmoniformes; Salmonidae. The transcript is spliced from 3 exons. The record is from RefSeq and is a predicted model, not a curated record.
AUUUUUCUGGAAUGGCCAGAAAAUGUGACAUGUUACUCCCUAUGUAAAUGUGGGGUGUGAAACCUGGCGGUUCAGGUCAGCUCCGUUGAGAGAGUGGAAACAGAGAGCUGACAUGGGGCGUUGUGACACUAUAAGGCAUGGGAACCUAUGAAAUUCACAGAGCGCUCUAUACACCAAUAAUGUCACUCGGAACAUUUACAUUACAUUACAUUUAAGUCAUUUAGCAGACGCUCUUAUCCAGAGCGACUUACAAAUUGGUGAACAAUCAACAGGGAUUUCGUUUCAAAAUGUCCUCCUCGAGCAUGUGUUCUGUGAUGGGUUCAGGUCCAACUGGGGGCAAGUUUAACACCUCAACCAUCCACAGGCUCCCUCUCCAGCCCAGAGGCUGCUGACCCUUCACAUGCCAUGGUGGGCCAGCCCAGCAGAUAUCACUAAUCAUGGGCCUUCUCUGCUUUGUUUGUCCACACAGGCUUCCGUUUCUCUAUGAAGGCCCGUAUCCCCUCCUGUCCGGAACCAGUCCACAACUUCACAUCUCACAGUUGUUUAAAAGCAGAGAAGAAGUCCCAGAACCUGAUGACACAUAGGAGAGAGUUGUAGCCAUUGAUUCUUGAAGAAUAUAACUUCUAAAUGCCCAAUGACCUCAGUUCAACGGUCAUACCCCAUCUGAAUCCAAUAUAUACCGAGUUUACAAAACAUUAUGAACACCUGCUCAACUUUGAUUUCCCAUCAGAACCCACAACAGCCUGUUUAACUCUGAGGGGUAAUAUACUAUGUAGUGGGAUAGAGGAGUUAGUGAGCUGACUUUGCUUCAAUUCUGAAUUCGACUCACUGAAUUCAACUCAGGAUAACUGUUGAAGGUCUCUUACCUCUUAACCAUGUAAGUUUCUAGGGCAACAAAUCUUUCAUCUCUAACCUGUUCCUGGGCAGGCUAGUUGAGGACCAAUCAGGGGGCAGGCUAACCCUACUUUAUCCUGACUCAAGUGUUGUGUCUGAGCUGUGAUUUGAGGACCAAUCAAAUCGAAAUCCCUUCCAUCUGUGAUUGCAAUAAAAAGUCAUAAGUUUACCAUCUGUUUGAUGUUAUCAUUCACACAGGAGAGAGACAUGACUAUUAUGGAUCCUCUGGGGAGCCUCAACAACAUCCUGAUGCUGACGAGGCAGAGAAGAGUCUCUCCAGAUCAGAACACCAGAUGGACAACGCUAGCCCUUCCUCCCUCCCGGAGUCCCUGUGUCGUGCCUCUCCCGGUAUCACCUUACUGCUGGGUAUGAAGAGGUUGUCUGUGCUGCUGGUGGACUGCAGGAAAACAACGGGGCUGAGUGGAAAUGUGAGAAGAGGAGAAGAGAAGAAAGGAUCAGAUUUGACACUUCAAAGAGAGAGAUCAGACUCUCACGUUGACAGCGGUAAGAGUCCUCCGGGGGAUCCGGACCCAGCGAUGCCCAAACCAGCUGGACGACACCACUGCGCCCAGUGUGGAAAGAGUUUUAACCAUUUAGGGAACCUGAAAAC